Homo sapiens (human) is the source of this 4244-nucleotide long non-coding RNA. RefSeq lists it as uncharacterized. The record is from RefSeq and is a predicted model, not a curated record. The transcript is spliced from 4 exons. Lineage: Eukaryota; Metazoa; Chordata; Mammalia; Primates; Hominidae.
UUAUUUGGCUGAUGGUUCUGCAGGCUGUAUAAGAAGCAUGGUGCCAGCAUCUACUUCUGGUGAGGAUUUUACGGAGCUUCCCCACUCAUAGCGGAAGGUGAAGGGGAGCUGGUGUGUGUGGAAACCACAUGGCCAGAGAGGAAGCAAGAGAUGGGGCAGGCACCAGGCUCAUUUUAACAACCAGCUCUGGUGAGAACGAAUAGAGUGAGAACUCACUCACUGCCCCGCCCACACACAGGGAGGGCAAUCAUCUAUUCAUGAGGGAUCUGCCCCAUGACCCAAACACCUCCCAUUAGACCCCACCUCCAACACUGGGAAUCAAAUUUCAACAUGAGAUUUGGAGAGAUCAAACAUCCAAACUAUUGCACUCAGGUUUCCUUAUCUUCCUCCCUGACUCACCAUCACACCAUCCCACUGUACCAUGAUGCCUACAGAAUUUCACAUUGCAGGUAAAUUUCUCCAGGAGCAGCACAUGAAUCCAGUACCAAUAUUUUAUCAAAUAUUUAUUUUUCAGAGACUAAGGCCAGGCAGUAUUGACUCGGAAGGCUGUGUGGGAGCUGGAGAACCAGGGUGUUGCUCUUUGGCCCAGGCUGAAGGGAGUACAGUGGUACCACCGUAGUUCACCGCAGCCUGCAAUUCGUGGAUUCAGGCCACCUUCCCACCUCAGCCUCUUGAGUAGCUGGGACUACAGGUUCCUAGAUGCUGGCAAUGCCAGGAUGGAUGAAUUACUUUCCUUGGCCCGGAGAGCCUCACCGUCUAGAAAGAGAUACAGACGUGCAAAUAAUUGCAAGAGAUUCCUCCAGGCAGCUGAGUGCACCUUCUGCAUACCUUUGAUAUCUAAUAUUCAAGUCAUAUCCCAGCCCUUGCUCCCCACAAGCAGACAGAACCAAGAAUUCUUCAACCUCUUCUGUCCUGAGACCCUGCCUGGGGCUCUCCUGAUUCUCUCAGCCACCAAGCUCACCUCCCAGUCUGUACUUUGGGCUUUUCCUCUCUCUGCAGGUAUGAAGUGGUCUACUCUGUUGCCGCAUCUUGUCUUGGGCUCUAUUAGGGGCUGAACCAUGUCCCCCACAAUCAAUCCUGAGUACCUCUGAAUGUAACCAUAUUUGGAGAUAAGAUCUUUAACGAGGUGAUUAAGUCAAAAUGAGGCCUUUAGGGUGGGGACCUAAUCCAAUAUGACUGGUGUCCUUACAAAAGAAGAGCCACCCGGGAUGCAUGCCUGCAUCACACACAGAAAAGGCCAUGUGGGGACGCAGGGAGAAGGCGGCCGGCUGCAAGCCAAGGAGAGAGGUCUCGGGAGAAACCAACACUGCCAAAAUCUUGAUCUUGGACUUCUAGCCUCCAGAACUGUGAGAAGGGUUUCUGGCUGAUAAAGGUAUAUAGGAGGUUCUGAAAUGUUAUUGAGUGAAUGAAUAAAUUAGCACUAGAAAAAAAGCAUGGACUUUGGAAGAGGACCAGAAUUUAAAACCAGACUAGAAGUGUAGAGUUGGGGGAACUCAACCCAUUUCCCACCACUUCCAUCGACCUCCUGUGGCAUCCUAAUGUUCAGAAGGAGAAGAACAUUCUAGAAGGAGAACAAAAUUCUAUCAGCAAGAAGUAUAAUACUCUUGUGCCAAAGGUGUGCACAAUCAGCCAAGUGACCUGAGAAAUGCAAGUCCUGGCUCUAUUGAGGUCAUCAAGGAGAAAGCAAGCCGCUGGCAAGUCAGGAAUCUGUCUCAAAGUAAACAUGUGGCUUGUGACCUUGAGGAUGUGCGUAUGUUUAUUGUUGGGGCAGUUGCUUUUUCCUUAUCUCUCACCAGCUCUCAAAAGACCUGUUUAAGUUUUCUGUAAGAGGAUAUAUCUCAUGUGCAGUUGCAAAUAUGCUUCUUUAUUCUUCUCUGGCUAAUAAUUAUCAAAGUUACAGUCAUGAAUAUUCACCUUCUCAGGCUGCUCUGUCAGAGAUUUUUCUGGGUGGGCAUGGUGGUUCACACCUGUAAUUCCAGCACUUUGGGAGGCGGAGGUGGGCGGAUCAUUUGAGGUCACGAGUUCAAGACCAGCCUGGACAACAUGGUGAAACCUCGUCUCUACUAAAAAUACAAAAAUUAGCCAGGCGUGGUGGUGUGGGCCUGUAAUUACCACUACUCAGGAGGCUGAGGCAGGAGAAUCACUUGAACCUGAGAGGUGGAGGUUGCAGUGUCCCAAGAUCACACCACUGCACUCCAGCCUGGGCAACAGCAUGAGACUCCACCUCAAAAAAAAAAAAGAGAUUUGUCUUAAAGCUGUGAGCCAUAAGGCUGGGCACAGUGGUUCACGUCUGUAAUCCCAGCAUUUUGGGAGGUCGAGGUGGGGGGACCGCUUGAGCCCAGAAGUUCAAGACUAGACUGGACAAUAUGGUGAGACCCUGUCUCUAUAAAAAACCAAAAAUAGCCAGGCGUGGUGGUGCAGUCUUGUAGCCCUAGCUACUCCAGAGGGUGAGGCAAGAACAUUGCUUGAGCCCUUGAGGUUGAGGCUGCAGUGAGCUGUGAUCAUGCCACUGCACUCUAGCCUGUGCGAUGGUGAACUUGUCUCAAAAAAAAAAAAACAAAAAACGCUGUGAGCCAUGUCGUUUAGAGUCUCUCAAGAAACUGUUUUUUCUGGUCUUCAUUCUUGGUGUCAAAGGCAACAAAAUAUUAUACCAAAAUACAUUCCCAUGCUUGAACAUUUCCAGUGGAAUAUAACUUGUCUCAAAAUGAGAACCAGAAAUGAUGCUUAUGUCAUCAAAUCAGUGAUUGCUAUUGCAGAAAAUAUGACAGUCUGAUUUGAAGAAAUGCUGAUCUGCUAUUAAGGGAAAGGGUGCUAUUUUAGCAUAGUUUAUUUAUUUAGAGAAAAAUCUCAUAGGUUGGCAGCUUCACACCUGUCUAUUAACCCUGCUUCCCGCAUACUUCCAUUUUGAUGUCUAGUACUGAUAAUGCAGAUUUCUUUCAAUGCUAUCAUAUUAAUAUUUCCCAACUCAGUUGACUUACAUGUCGACAAUAAACCUUGACAGCAGGUGAGGAAUAUGUUGGCUUUCUGGCCAAUAUGCUGAGCUUUUUGAGAAAUGCUUCUUUGAGGGUUAUGUGCUUUGAGUUCUGUUUAUGGUUAUGGAGAUAGAGUUUCCUCAUUCGAUUAUCAUUUAUUCAAAGUCUCUCAACUUAUUCUCUCUUAUGAUUAAUGGCAUACAUAAUGGAAAAUGUGAAGUUAUAGCUACAAUCAGGAAUAUAAAACAGCAAAAGGUUCUCUGGCCUGCCCAGAAACCAAACCUAUGACAGUCAUGUGAUUAGCCCCAUGUGUUGACCACAGGUUUAGGGAUACCUCUUAUAAAAGGACGAUUGAUAUGAAGGUGGUCUUUCUAUUGCAGCAAGGGACAGAUCCUUUCAUCUACUGAAAAUAGUGCUUUAAAGUAUACGAAUUAUUUCACUCAUUAAAGAUAACUGAACGUGAAUUCCUCAAAUAGAAACAUUUCAAGUUGUACUAGGUUGGUGCAAAAGUAAUUGCGGUUUUUGCCAUACUUUCAAUGGCAAAAUAUGAGAAAGGUAAGAACUGAUGACACCUAUGUUCAUAUGUUCUGGAAAUUAUUGCUCAGGAAGAUAUAUGUAAACCAAUAAAUAAUUUAACUGUUAAUAAUUGGCUUCAGGAGAUUCCUGCAAACUUAUUUAUCUAGGAAAACAGUUUGCUCAUGUGGGAAACCAACCCUCCUAUCAGAAACAGAUUGCUCACCUGAGAAAAAAGCUUGUGUAUCACAUCAAAAGCCUUCCCUCACUGGGUCCAUCAAUACUACACUGUUAUGUCAACAACUAUGCCUGGCAUCAAUCAGUUCCCUGUAGUGAAAAAUCAGCCUAAUGCCACUUGAGCCUGACCCCAAGUUCUAUAAAUAGCUUUUCUUGAAAUCCUCCUUCUGAGACACUAUCUGUCAAGGUGUGUUUUCCUUCGCUACAGUGAGUCUAACAAAAUUAGUUUUGGGGGAGUUGACAGUCAACAGAAGGGAGGAACUAACUAAUAUUUAUUGACUAUAGAUGUAGCUUCUCAUUAUAUGUCAAACUAUUAUAUUUUAUUAUCCGAUUCCAUUGCUAAUUUGUAUUGAACACAUUAAAUAUAUUUGCUAUAAGUCCGUGUUAAGUUCCGCUAUGACUUUGGCUAGGAGGAAGUAAAGUCUUUAUCUUGUUAUUCUGAACUCUAAGAUUCAUAGUGAAAAGCAAUAGAUAUUUGAAACUUUCUUUACUCUUAGUUAAAAAUGGUGAAAUUUUAAGGCC